This 389-nucleotide ribosomal RNA is filed under the name Nodipecten subnodosus. RNAcentral describes it as "partial 16S ribosomal RNA". It matches the Rfam family "Bacterial large subunit ribosomal RNA", at positions 1857 to 2479 of the family's 2925-position model. The record is from RNAcentral. Lineage: Eukaryota; Metazoa; Mollusca; Bivalvia; Pectinida; Pectinidae.
GCCUUCCCGGUGAGUCUGCGGGCUUAAACGGACGCGGUAAAGCGUGCUAAGGUAGCUAAAUUAUGGCCUAUUAAUUGUAGGUCCUGUGAAUGGUUUGACGAGUCUUCAACUGUCUCUAGUUUUUUUGGUGAACUUGAAUUGGAUGUGCAAAUGCUUCCAUGGGUAAGAAAGACGAGAAGACCCCGUGAAGUUAGAAAUUUUGGUUGUUGGUGAGCUUUGUUGGGUGAAGGUUAGGCCACUUUAAGUGGUUUGAAAGAAAAGUGAACAGCGAUAGUUUUGGCUGGGGCAGCAAAGAAGCAAGGUUAGACUUCUUUAGUUUAAGGACAGGUGUGUGACGACCCACAAGUUUGUUGGUGUGAUUAGCAGAAGAAGUUACUCCGGGGAUAACA